Molecule: ribosomal RNA, 468 nt
Filed under: uncultured bacterium
Lineage: Bacteria
Description: partial 16S ribosomal RNA
Rfam family: Bacterial small subunit ribosomal RNA
Source: RNAcentral
GACGAACGCUGGCGGCGUGCUUAACACAUGCAAGUCGAACGGAAAGGCCCUGCUUUUGUGGGGUGCUCGAGUGGCGAACGGGUGAAUAACACGUGAGUAACCUGCCCUUGACUUUGGGAUAACUUCAGGAAACUGGGGCUAAUACCGGAUAGGAGCUCCUGCUGCAUGGUGGGGGUUGGAAAGUUUCGGCGGUUGGGGAUGGACUCGCGGCUUAUCAGCUUGUUGGUGGGGUAGUGGCUUACCAAGGCUUUGACGGGUAGCCGGCCUGAGAGGGUGACCGGCCACAUUGGGACUGAGAUACGGCCCAGACUCCUACGGGCGGCAGCAGUGGGGAAUAUUGCACAAUGGGCGGAAGCCUGAUGCAGCAACGCCGCGUGCGGGAUGACGGCCUUCGGGUUGUAAACCGCUUUCGCCUGUGACGAAGCGUGAGUGACGGUAAUGGGUAAAGAAGCACCGGCUAACUACGUG